UUGAAGAGUUUGAUCCUGGCUCAGAUUGAACGCUGGCGGC
RNAcentral lists this ribosomal RNA (40 nucleotides) under Oxyrrhis marina. RNAcentral's name for it is "partial Bacterial small subunit ribosomal RNA". The record is from RNAcentral. Lineage: Eukaryota; Dinophyceae; Oxyrrhinales; Oxyrrhinaceae.